RNAcentral lists this ribosomal RNA (2947 nucleotides) under Gemmatimonadales bacterium. RNAcentral describes it as "23S ribosomal RNA". It matches the Rfam family "Bacterial large subunit ribosomal RNA". The record is from RNAcentral. Lineage: Bacteria; Pseudomonadati; Gemmatimonadota; Gemmatimonadia; Gemmatimonadales.
AUGGAUCAAGCGAUCAAGGGCACAGGGUGGAUGUCUAGGCACGGACUGGCGAUGAAGGACGUGGCAAGCUGCGAUAAGCCGGGGGUAGCUGCAAGCAAGCGUUAAUCCCCGGAUUUCCGAAUGGGGAAACCCGGCCGGGGUGAUGCCCGGUCAUCCCUUUGCUGAAUACAUAGGCGUUGGGAAGCGAACCGAGGGAACUGAAACAUCUAAGUACCUCGAGGAAGAGAAAACAACCGUGAUUCCCUCAGUAGCGGCGAGCGAACGGGGAAGAGCCCAAACCAUGGAGGUGUCAAGGCGGCAGCCGUUGCUUCCAUGGGGUAGCAGGGUGGUUCGUGAGAGUCUGCCGGCUCUCGGAGCGUCGCGCGACGGUGAGUCGAAUCCGUCUGGAAAGCCAAGCCAUAGAGGGUGACAGCCCCGUAGGCGAAGCCGACGUCGCGAUCUCUGGAUCAUUCCUGAGUAGGUCGGGACACGUGAAAUCCCGAUUGAAUCCGGCAGGACCACCUGCCAAGGCUAAAUACACGUCCGUGACCGAUAGCGAACGAGUACCGUGAGGGAAAGAUGAAAAGUACGCCGGGAGGCGGGUGAAACAGAUCCUGAAACCGUGUGCCUACAAGCGGUGGGAGCUCGACCCUCUCUUCGUGAGAGACGUCGGGUGACCGCGUGCCUUUUGCAUUAUGAUCCGGCGAGUUGUUCCUCAGUAGCGAGGUUAAGCCGUUCAGCGGCGGAGCCGAAGCGAAAGCGAGUCUUAACUGGGCGUAAAGUUGCUGGGGACAGACCCGAAACCAGAGUGAUCUAUCCAUGGCCAGGUUGAAGCGAGGGUAAUGCUUCGUGGAGGACCGAACCGUUGUGGGUUGAAAACUGCUCGGAUGAGCUGUGGAUAGGGGUGAAAGGCCAAUCAAACCUGGAGAUAGCUGGUUCUCCCCGAAAGAUAUUUAGGUAUCGCCUCUGAGUGUAGACUGCGGGAGGUAGAGCACUGGAAGGGCUAGGGCCCUAAACCGGGUACCAACCCCUACUAAACUCCGAAUGCCCGUUAGUUGGUCUCAGGGAGGAAGUGCACGUGCGAUAAUGUUCGUGCGCGAGAGGGAAAGAGCCCAGACCUUCAGCUAAGGUCCCCAAGUGCUAGCUAAGUGACAAAGGUGGUGGAUUUGCGGAGACAACUGGGAGGUUGGCUUAGAAGCAGCCAUCCUUGAAAGAGUGCGUAAUAGCUCACCAGUCAAGCGGAUCUGCGCCGAUAAUGGUCGGGACUCAAGUUAGCCACCGAAGCUAAGGCUGCGCGCAUCUGCGCGCGGGGUAGGGGAGCGUUGCCUGAGCUGUGAAGCGGGGCCGGAAGGCUACCCGUGGAGCGCAGGCAAGUGAGAAUGCCGGAAUGAGUACGCGAGAAACAAGGUGAGAACCCUUGUCGCCGUAAGCCCAAGGUUUCCUGAGCCAUGCCAAUCAGCUCAGGGUUAGUCGGCCCCUAAGGUGAGGCCGAAAGGCGUAGCCGAUGGAAAACGGGUCAACAUUCCCGUACCACACGAUACUGCGCUUGAGUUCGCGGAGGGACGCAGAGGUGAAAGGUCCGUCGUUUCAAUGGACAUGAACGAUGUAAGGAGGUAGGCGUUUCCGGGUAGGCAAAUCCGCCUGGUGAAGCCGAGAUCCGAUGCCGAAGAAGUCUUCGGACUUCGCUAAGGGACCGUAAUCGUACUGCCAAGAAAAGCUUCGUGAACGAGGAGUACGUGUGACCGUACCGCAAACCGACACAGGUGGGCGAGGCGAGUAGCCUCAGGCGCUCGAGUGAGUCUUGGUUAAGGAACUCGGCAAAAUGUCCCCGUAACUUAGGGAGAAGGGGAGCCGGCGGUAGGUGAUCCUGCCUCGCGCAGGGGAGCCGAAAUCGGCCGCAGAGAAUCGGCCCAAGCGACUGUUUAGUAAAAACACAGGUGUCUGCAAAGUCGUCAAGACGACGUAUAGGCAAUGACNNNNNNNNNNUAGCGAAAUUCCUUGUCGGGUAAGUUCCGACCUGCACGAAUGGCGUAACGACUUGGGCACUGUCUCAACCAAGAGCUCGGCGAAAUUGGAGUCUCGGUGAGGAUACCGAGUACCCGCGGCAGGACAAAAAGACCCCGUGCACCUUUACUAUAACCUGAUAUUGGGUUCGGGCACCGUCUGUGUAGGAUAGGUGGGAGGCAUUGAAGCAGGGCCGCCAGGUUCUGUGGAGCCACUGGUGAAAUACCACCCUUGCGAUGUCUGGAUUCUAACCUGGGGCCGUGAAUCCGGUCUGGGAACAGUGUCAGGCGGGUAGUUUGACUGGGGCGGUCGCCUCCCAAAAGGUAACGGAGGCGCGCAAAGGUUCCCUCAGCGCGGUCGGCAAUCGCGCGAAGAGUGCAAAGGCAUAAGGGAGCUUGACUGCGAGACCGACGGGUCGAGCAGGAACGAAAGUUGGCCUUAGUGAUCCGGCGGUUCCGAAUGGAAGGGCCGUCGCUCAACGGAUAAAAGGUACGCCGGGGAUAACAGGCUUAUCGCCCCCGAUAGUUCACAUAGACGGGGCGGUUUGGCACCUCGAUGUCGGCUCAUCGCAUCCUGGGGCCGGAGAAGGUCCCAAGGGUCGGGCUGUUCGCCCGUUAAAGCGGUACGCGAGCUGGGUUUAGAACGUCGUGAGACAGUUCGGUCUGUAUCCGCCGUGGGCGUUGGAGAUUUGAGAAGAGCCGCUCCUAGUACGAGAGGACCGGAGUGGAGUGACCGCUGGUGUACCUGUUGUCCCGCCAGGGGCAUCGCAGGGUAGCUAUGUCGCGAAGGGAUAACCGCUGAAAGCAUCUAAGUGGGAAGCCUACUUCAAGAUGAGAUCUCCCGCACCGCAAAGGUGCCUGAAGGAUCGCAGGAGACGACUGCGUAGAUAGGCGGCAGGUGUAAGGCGUGCGAGCGUCUCAGCCGAGCCGUACUAAUCAUCCGUGAGGCUUGAUCCAUAUCUUCC